UAGUUUUCAACUGUUUCUUCCAUGACUUGCUUGUGCCCGAAGUUUCUAAGCACCUCGUGGCCUCAAAGUGCCGUAUGACAGGGGUUUUCGUGAUGUAGUGUUGAUGAGUUGGAGUGCACCUGUACCUGCUCUGUAAGGAUCGACACCGGAUACAUCGUGCCGUGUCUCUCCAUUUCCUUUGCCGAGGCACAAUCUGCAUUUCUUCUGUGGUUGAGUGGAAUAAUACUUGUAAAUUUGGAAUAGAGGAAUCCAUAACAUUGCGGAGGACGGGUUCGUGAGGGCAUGUAUGUUCUGAGUGCCGUGUUUGCACUAGUUUUCUUCGGAUCGUACUUCUGUCCGGACAUUGAGAUAUGUAUUUGUAGAGUAGAUCGAUCUGGUGCGUGCUUUGGCGAGUUACGAUUGAGUAAAUCUGCCAAUUCAAACAAUGGGUUCCACGAGUAAGGUAUCCGCAGGAGACGGUGGUGCCGUACUUGAAGAUGUACCGCACCUUACUGACUGGCUUCCCGACCUGCCGACAUACGAAAAUCCAUUGAAGCACAAUCCAGCAUACGCGGCCGUGAGGCAGUAUUUUAUCGAGGACACAGAUGUCGUUGCCAAAGAUGUGGUAGUAAAUAUCAACACUGCUGGGGAUGGUGUUCAUUUCAGACGUGCAGGACCUCGUGAUAAGAUAUACUUCCAGUCGGAGGAUGUGAAGGCAUGCAUUGUAACUUGUGGAGGAUUAUGCCCCGGAAUCAAUACUGUGAUUCGUGAGAUUGUCUGUGGUCUGUGGACGCAAUAUGGUGUGCGCGAAAUCUUUGGUAUUGAUGGAGGAUACAAAGGAUUUUACUCUCGGAACACAAUCUCUCUCAAUCCUAAAGUUGUGAGUGAUAUUCAUAAACGAGGAGGCACGUUUUUGAAAUCUUCACGUGGUGGACACGACACCAAAAAAAUUGUUGAUUCUAUUGAAGACCGUGAAUUCAAUCAGGUUUAUAUUAUUGGAGGUGAUGGCACUCACAAAGGGGCUUCCGCUAUCCACGAGGAGUGCAAGAAGAGGGGUCUGAAGGUUGCGGUUGCGGGCAUUCCCAAAACAAUCGAUAAUGAUCUCGAUGUCAUAGACAAAUCAUUUGGUUUUGAUACCGCAGUUGAAGAAGCACAGCGUGCAAUUAAUGCUGCGCACGUGGAAGCUGAGAGUGUUCAUAAUGGCAUUGGAUUGGUCAAGCUUAUGGGACGAUACAGUGGUUACAUUGCUUUGUAUGCCACUCUUGCAAGUCGUGAUGUGGACUUAUGCUUGAUUCCAGAAGUGCCGUUCUACUUACUCGGGCCAGGUGGACUGAUCGAGUAUGUUCACCAUAGAUUAAAAGAAAAUGGUCACAUGGUCAUCGUGGUGGCUGAGGGUGCUGGACAAGAAUUGAUCGCUGAGAGCAUGGGGUCUUUCAAAAAUCUCAAUGAUGCAUCUGGAAAUAAAUUACUUCUUGAUGUCGGUUUAUGGCUCUGUCAAAAUCUGAAGGAACAUUUUCUCAAGGAAUUUAAGGAGCCGCUGAACUUGAAAUACAUAGAUCCAACGUACAUGAUUCGAGCUGUUCCAAGCAAUGCUUCUGACAACGUGUACUGCACUUUGCUUGCUCAUAGCGCCAUCCAUGGAGCUAUGGCAGGGUAUUGCGGUUUCACUGUUGGACCUGUUAACGUCAGACAUUGCUAUAUCCCAAUACCACGAGUGGUGGCGAAGUCGCGACACGUAAACGUAGCUGAUCGCAUGUGGGCGCGGCUAAUGUCAUCAACCAACCAACCAAGCUUUUCUCAAUACAACGAAAUAAUUAUACAGAAGCGUCAAGAGGAAGCUUUGAGGGGAGGUGGUGCACCAACAUCUGCAAACGGCACCACCACAAUGAAAGCCAAUGUUGAUGAGCACUCGCACGAAGUUACAGCCGAGAAACCAACCGAUGUAAUUGAAACCGGCAACAGACAAGGAUUUCCGAAGGAUCAGACGGAGAUUUCCACACAAACGACGCCUGCGGAGGCAUAGCAGCUUCGUGAUCGGAAAGCUCCUCGACUUUUCGCCACGACGUUCUUUCGUUUAUAAGCGGAAAUCCGCGCAAUUUAGAUCGUAGAUAAUCCACUUUCCUGCUAGAAAGUACUAUCUUUCCUCCUUAACUUUCUUGUUGGUUCAAAUAAGUGGGUCAUGAGUAAAUUGUAGUGAUCACAAACUACACGAGAACCAGUUGAUAGCGGCUGUGUAAACAUCAAAUUGGCAUAUGUGAUUGGCAACUGCGUAGAUUAGAAAUUUUAUAUGAACUUAUUUGAAUUAUUUUAAAGUUUGACAUUUAAUGUAUGCAAAAACAUGAAAUUACUUCAAAUUUAAUAUAGUUUUGUUCCUCUGGAUCAAUUAACACUA
RNA transcript from Physcomitrium patens, 2371 nucleotides. It is a transcript of the gene named ATP-dependent 6-phosphofructokinase 6-like, with no coding region annotated. The record is from RefSeq and is a predicted model, not a curated record. Lineage: Eukaryota; Viridiplantae; Streptophyta; Bryopsida; Funariales; Funariaceae.